This is a long non-coding RNA of Gouania willdenowi (blunt-snouted clingfish), 2297 nucleotides long. Lineage: Eukaryota; Metazoa; Chordata; Actinopteri; Blenniiformes; Gobiesocidae. The record is from Ensembl.
AGUUCAUUUAGUUUUCUUUUCGAACAAAAUGUUAAGGUUUAAUUUAUUCAGACAAUAAAUGUAUUCAUUAAAAAUCAUUUCAUUUAUUUACACAGCUGUUUUUCUGUUUUUUUUUUUUUUUUUUUUUUUUUUUUUUUUUUUUUUUUUUUUUUUUUUUUUUUUUUUUUUUUUCUUGUCUGCACAUGCUUUCGAAGGUUAACACUACAAGAAGUGCAAUCUUUUGACAGCAAUGCAUAUUUUAUUAUUGCAAUUAAAUAAAUUUAUUUAUUUCAUUGCAUAAUUGUGACCGUCACCAGCCCUCCCUAGGGAAGGGUAAGAAAUACUUUAUUAAAGGGAGGGUGUAAAAAAGAGAGGGCAGUGUUACACCAAGGUGAGGGGUUGGAGGGGGGUGGGGAAGUUAGCAGGGAAGAGGGAUACAAGAUAGGAUAUGGAAUGGGUGAGGAAUAGUUUUAAGUGAUGCGAUGUGAAAUUGUGGUUGUGUAUAUUGUGUUUAUUGUUGUGUUGUCAAGCCAGUUUGGUGACCAGUGUGUGGUUUAGGAAUAAUGGUGGUGGCUGUGAACAGAGGAAGAGGUGAGUGGAAAUUCCAGAAAACAGGUAUUUGGGAACAACGUGUCUAAGGUUGAGCCCAGUAUGAGUGUUAUCCCACAGCCCAAGGCCAGUGCAUCCAUGACAAAUGUAUUUCCAAGUACCGCCACUGCAAAACCCAAGAGCCGCCCCCGGGCCCGAAGAAGCAGUCAGGCCAGCAGCAAGAGCAGGCAGCCUAAGGGCCCCCGGCGACCACCCCACGGCCAAGCAGUCCCCCGAACGCCCCCAAGACCCAAGCCGAGAGGCAGCCAUCGCCCCCCCAUACACACCCGAGAAAGCCCCAAGGAGCCAAGGACCCAGCGCACCACGCCACCGAUCCCACCCCCAACCCCCAGACCCCCCACCCCAUCGACCCCCCCACCCCCCCACCCCACCCCCGCGCCCAACCCCCCGAGGGGAGGGCCCCGAGAACUCCCUGCCCGAGGCCCCAGCGGAGGAGCCGAAGCCCACACCCAGCAGACGACCAGAACCGCGCCGAACAGGCAGCCAGUGGGCACCCGCCGGCGAGCCCAGAGCCAGCAGGGGCCCGACCCCAGGCCAGAAGGACCCGGAACGGAUGCAGCACCAGGAGCAGCCCGCCCAGGGAGGACGACCACACCCCAAGCCGCAUAAGGCACCAGGGGGCCGCUGGGAGUCUCCCCGCCGGCCCCCAGGCACCCCAACCUAGCCCCCCACGGCGCCCCAGAUCACCCUUCACUGAUGCCGCCCGCGCCACGAGCUUCAGUUCUUUUUUUUUUUUUUUUUUUUUUAAAGCCAGGGCCCCCUCCAAGGGCCAAGCCAGACCGCCCCGCCGGGAUGUGGCCCCCUAUUCCGGCCCCCGACACCCUACCUCACGGGGCACUGCCCAAGCAGGGGCCGUACCAGUAGGUACGCAAGGGCGCGGCACGCGCCACCCGCCCCGAAAGACCCCCGCCAGGACCGGCCCGGCCAGCAGGCCAAGCACCCCGGGCCCCAGGAGCACCCCCCGGGACCAGGACCCCCCAAGGGCAAGCCCCCGGGCCAAGCCCCCCGGGACGCACUCCCCACCCCCGCCCGGGACCCGGCCACGGCCCAGCAGGACCGCACAGCCCCGGACAGCCCACGGCCAGCAGCCCAGGGCCCGCCGCCCCCCGGACAGCGCCAGCCACGGAGCAGCGCCCCCCGCCGGCCCGCGAGCAACCGGCGAUCCCCACCGCGGGGACGGAGGCACCCCAACGGCACACAUCAAGUGCGGGACAGCAGCCCCCAGCCAAAGAUGCCCCGGACCCACCCACCAGUCCGCAAACGGCAGGAUAGACCCACCAGGCGGCCGACAGCAACCUCCACCACCGGAACAGCUAGCGCCGCCCCCCAGUAAACAGCAUCACCCCGAGGCGCCAAGCAACCCCGCCCCAACCCCGGCGAGGACACCAGCACCCCCCCAGCACACCCACCCCCCAAACCGGCGAGGCAGGCCGCCCCGGGCCCGCACACCGCGGGGCCCGCCCCCAAGGCCACCAGGAGACAAAGCAAGCGCCAAGCCACACCCAAGGGGGAGAGGCACCCCCGCGCCCCACCCGGCCGACACAGCCCGGAAAGACCCCGCAAGGAGAGACCCCGGCAAAGCCCCCCCGAGACCCACCGCCACGCCCGACCGCACCAUCUUGAUGUGCUUUUGCUCUAUGCAGUGGCCCAGCCACCAACAGAGGGGCCAGGCCCCCACCGGAGAGGCCCAAAUAUGUGUACCAACCCAC